AUCAACAAUAGCAGUAGCAAUAACAGUAGCAGUAGUAGCAGAAGUACGUAGCAGUAACAGUAGCGCAGCAGUGGUAUUAUCGUUACAGAAAUUAUGCAAUGUAUCUGUAGACGUACAAUGAAACAUGUAUUGCUUUCAAUUUGCACAACUUGGUAAUAAAAUAACGAUUUCCUUUUCAGAGUGUAAUCCUGGUGACAAGCAUAGACUGUUAGAAAGUCUGAGUGUGCGUAGCAGUGGUCUGGCCAACGUAAUGAUGUAUGUAUAUAUGUGGCGGGGCUCCUCCCCAAGACUCACUGCGCUCCUACCUGUCACUUGCUGCCAUCGACCUCGACUCAUCCCACCCCGCCCUACGUAGAGACGCAGCGACAUGAGGCUGGCUGCGUCGCUGUGUGUCUGGUCCUUCUCGAUCUCCUGCCUCCCCCUGUCGUCCAUGGCUCAGCUAGACCCUACGGCUGACGGGUGGAACACAGACGCUGUCACCGCUGUGAAGGAAGUGUUCCAGUCAUCAUCACAAGUGGACGCCUCUCUCAUCAUUAUUGUUGGAAAAAGUUUCAGUGUAAGUCUUUUUAUUCUUCUCCCUAUCAUGACAAACAGUUAACAGCUGUCUCUGUACAUUAGCACGGAAAGAGACAAGGGCCAACUAUUUCAGGGACAAAUCGAAGACCUCCUCGGAGACUCGCGUGGAGCAGCGGUGUUUGAGGUGACCUCCAACACCUCUCGGCUUGACCAGGUCGUCGCCAGUGCCCGCCAGGUAUUUACUAAGGACUUGGGUACCAGGCCUCUGUACCUGUUAUAAGUGUUACCCUAGAUGUUUAGUAGUGGUAAUGGUAGUAGUAGUAUUGUUGGUAUUGCAAUAUUUAACGCAUAGCUGCCUCAUAACUCCCGUCACCUGCUCGUGAACAGGUGCGGCUGGCGUCAUGGGAGGCAGUGGUGAUAGUAGUGAGUGACGACCCAGCCUUCCUCGUCGCCUUCGCUCUACAGGCACGCGAGAGUCGCCUCUUUGUGUGGGCGACAAAACUCAUCGUGGUGACGCGUCGCUGGCCCCAUCGCCUCCAUCCCCUCCACCAGACCUUGUCCCUCACCAACUCCGUCCUUGUGGUGCUGGACGCCGAAGUAGAGAUAUCGAGCCAAGGGAACACUGGCUCUCGCAGGGCAGCAGCCUGGGCAGUGCUGCCAUUCCAAGGCCCAGACGUCCCUCCGCUGAGAGUUGCCUCAUGGGCUGUGGGACGUGGCCUCCAACUGUAUCGGCCAUUCUU
Molecule: long non-coding RNA, 1256 nt
Organism: Scylla paramamosain (green mud crab)
Lineage: Eukaryota; Metazoa; Arthropoda; Malacostraca; Decapoda; Portunidae
Exons: 4
Source: RefSeq, a predicted model, not a curated record